Molecule: long non-coding RNA, 323 nt
Organism: Ruditapes philippinarum (Manila clam)
Lineage: Eukaryota; Metazoa; Mollusca; Bivalvia; Venerida; Veneridae
Exons: 3
Source: RefSeq, a predicted model, not a curated record
GUCGUAAAUUUCUUUUGCAGGCGACCUGCAGUAGUAUUGGUGCAAGACUAGUUAUUCUUGAAAGCGAAGAUGAAAUAGAUUUUCUACAAACACAAGUGUCAGGAUUUAACCAUUGGAUCGGUAUGACUUGUUCCGCUGGCACGAAUUGCGUAUGGGAUGAUGGUAGAAGUGUUAAUUCUGGGUUCACUGCUUGGGCGCCCAAUGAGCCGCAAGGUCACGACUGUGUAUACAUUGGUUACUAUGUAAACAAAUGGGAUGAUGGCUUCUGUGUAGGACCGGCUAAAGCACUUUGUGAAUAUCUUUAAUCCAUAUAUAUGUGUCUA